Molecule: ribosomal RNA, 490 nt
Filed under: uncultured bacterium
Lineage: Bacteria
Description: partial 16S ribosomal RNA
Rfam family: Bacterial small subunit ribosomal RNA
Source: RNAcentral
AUUGAACGCUGGCGGCAGGCCUAACACAUGCAAGUCGAACGGUAACAGAAAGCAGCUUGCUGCUUUGCUGACGAGUGGCGGACGGGUGAGUAAUGUCUGGGAAACUGCCUGAUGGAGGGGGAUAACUACUGGAAACGGUAGCUAAUACCGCAUAACGUCGCAAGACCAAAGAGGGGGACCUUCGGGCCUCUUGCCAUCGGAUGUGCCCAGUUGGGAUUAGCUAGUAGGUGGGGUAACGGCUCACCUAGGCGACGAUCCCUAGCUGGUCUGAGAGGAUGACCAGCCACACUGGAACUGAGACACGGUCCAGACUCCUACGGGAGGCAGCAGUGGGGAAUAUUGCACAAUGGGCGCAAGCCUGAUGCAGCCAUGCCGCGUGUAUGAAGAAGGCCUUCGGGUUGUAAAGUACUUUCAGCGGGGAGGAAGGGAGUAAAGUUAAUACCUUUGCUCAUUGACGUUACCCGCAGAAGAAGCACCGGCUAACUCCGUG